Long non-coding RNA from Pipistrellus kuhlii (Kuhl's pipistrelle), 503 nucleotides. RefSeq lists it as uncharacterized. The record is from RefSeq and is a predicted model, not a curated record. The transcript is spliced from 2 exons. NCBI's taxonomy places the organism in Eukaryota, Metazoa, Chordata, Mammalia, Chiroptera, Vespertilionidae.
UUCUUUUUUUUUAACUUUACGCUCUUCUCUGAGCAGCAGCUUUUUUAAGUAAAUCAUCAGGAUUACCCUUUCCUGGAUGAGCUUCAAAUUUCCUUAGCGAAUGACAGGAAAAUGUUCAAUGGGAAAGCCUACCACCCGAAGUACUUGAGUCCAGAACAGAGAGAAAACAUAGCUUCAGUAUUUUACUGGAAUCUGAGUUAAGAAAUAGGGAUCACAGAACAAAUAGCAAACAGCAGCUUGAGUAACAUCAGAAUGAAAAGAAAACGAUGAACCAGGAUUUGCAACCUGAACUAUUAGGCAAUAUGGCUAAGGGAGCUAAGAAGAUACCUCUUACACAUUUUAAAAAAAAAAUCCUCUAGAGUUUAAAAUAAAAGGAAUUCAUUUAGAAGAUUAUUGAUGCUUACAGAUAAAUGUCACAAUUUUGCUCUUCAGGGAAUCCUUUUGCAAAUAAACUGACACUUCCAUCUUGGCAAUUAUUAACUUGCCCCAUUUCUCUAACUAAG